CGCCCGCCCCCCUCGGCUGUCCCUUGGCCCGGGGAGGGUAGCUGGGGCCCCUCCACCCCCCCACCCCACCCUGGGAUGCUGUCGGGGGGGAAGUUUUUAUUAUGGUUAUUUAAUUAAAAAAAAAUUUUUUUUUUGGAAAACCAUCUUGUUUGGUGACUGAGGGAUCUGGUUAAAAAAAAAAAAAAAAAAAAGCUGCGGCUGCUGACGCUGCCGGGCCCGAGUGUGUGUGUGUGUGUGUGUGUGUGUGUAUGUGUGUGUGAGUGUGAGUGUGUUGGUGCAUUUGUCUUGGGUGGCCGGAGCAGCGUUGGGGAAAUUCCGCUUAUUCUUCUUCUUCUGCAACUUGUUAUUCCGGAGAGUCUGCCUGCACCCCUCACCCUGGGGCCGGCCCUCCCGCAUUCGCCCCCGCCGCCGGCGGCCGCGGGGCGCCCCCGGGACCCCAAGCGGGCCGGGGCGGACAGGCCGUUCCGAGAGGGGCCGCGGCCGCCCCUCCCCCGCCCGCGCCCCCGCCGGGGGGAGGGGCGCGCGGAGUGGGACUCUUUCCGUUUGGUCCAGCCCCGUCGUGCACGCAGUUCCCAACACUUCUCGUCAUCCUCUCUUUGGUCUCUUUAUUCUGCUGAGCGGUGCUGUUAGGAUUUCUUUUUUUUUUUUUUUUUUCUCCCCCUGACCACGUUCGCAAUGGUGGGUAGCAGCAAGGUGGCCCUGUUAGGGGAGGGGUUGGUAUCGAGAUUGGGCACCGGGGGAGAACGUCUCCUUUCAACUUUGUCUGUGGCUUGCACCCCCGGAGAAGGCCACAGGCCGGUUGUGGGGUGCAGAUGUGCCGAGAGUGAUUUCUAAGUAGUUGAGUUGUUGUGAUGAGGAUACGACUGCUAAUGGUCGGCAGGUUUUGUUUUCAUUGGUGAAUCUGGUGUCAUCAUAUUCCGGUCAUAUGUUGAAAUAUUCUUUGUUUAGGUCUGGAAGUAGAGGAUCUCACUCUGCACGUCCACAUUGUGUUGUUUUUAAAAUGAUGUCUCUGGGAGUAUGGAUUUCUAGAAUUUCAAAUCUGAGUGAAGGUCCGGACUUGUGUGGGCCUCGUUACCUGGCCUUGACAGUGAACUUUGUGGGUGUGUUUCGGAUUUCAAAGAUUUGCCCCAUAGCUGGGGACCGAGUUGUGCAUUUUUGCUAAUAGUCGGUGUCAGGAAUGUAGAUGCUUGAGCUGGAGAAGUUAGAGAGGGAAGAACAUUUAUAUAUAAAUAAUGGGUAGUUGAAUAUUAGAAUCAGAUUAAUUUGGGCAGAUGAAAGUUUGUUUGUUUGUUUUAAAGCAGUUAUGCACUCUGGGAAGGAAGCCUUUUCACAGGUUCACUUGAUAGGGAUUCUUUAAGGCGAGGGGUUGGAAUUAUCUCCUUUUUGAGAGGAUUCUCAUCAACAUCUGUAGCUUUAUUGAGGGCCUGAUAAGGGUACUGAAAUUGGGGCUAAACCAUGUUAGCAUACUUUUCAGUAUUUAUGAUAUUUGUUUACAUCGGGUGUUCACUUUAAUUUGGGCAAUAGAAAUAAAUAGGUCAGCUUUGCUUUUGGCCUUUGAAGUCUGGCCCCCUCCUUCCUUCUUUAAGUUUCACAAUUUACUUGGUUUACAGCAUUGUUGGAAACUGUUACUACAUUUUUACUGGAAAUACUAUUAUUCAUUUUAAUUUUGGUAAGUUCCUUCUUAUUCUGUUCUUCUGUCUUCACUUGUUUAUGGAAUCUGUGUUGUGGGCUUAAGCUAGUUUAUUUUAGAAGGUCAUUAAAAAUGUCUGAAAAAUACAUUUUCAAAUCCGGGGACCUAUCUUUUGAUGGCAAAGAGGAAAUUUUGUGUGCAGUUAUACUAAUGUUUAUUUAAAAUAUUUCUGUACUUAAAACGUUUGUAGAUGUACAACUAUCCUUAAGUGAAGAGCAUAGUAAUAGUGCACAGAGUUCUCAAAGCACAAACAUCUGGCUAACAUGUUAAAAAUCUUCCAGGUGCUUUUGUUUUGUUUUUUAACAUCAGACUUUUGCUUUUGAUAACAUAAUAGUAUUUGCAGUUUGACUGGCAUUGCUUGACUGCCCAUAAUAAAGUUUUUUGCUUGGGUGCUAUUGAAGGCUUUUUAACUUAGUUUUUAGAUAAUUUUGCAGGCUUGAUGUAAGCAUGUUAUAUUUUGAACUCAGGCAAGUUGUUAUGGAACUGGAGUAGUAAUAGAUGAAAAAGACACCUACCUGGGCUAAUUGUAUUUUUAGAAGGUGUAAGUGAUGGAUGGGGCCUAUUUCUUUUAGCCUUGAAGGGUCCAUCCUUUUUCCUAUUCAGUCGUCUGGAAGGACCUGCCUCUGAAAUAUUCUUCUUCUGCUUACAUGAAGAUCUCUAAAUGCUAUCCAGCAGGAGGUGCUACAGCAAGAUAAAGGAUAUUUUUGAAUUUUGAGGGUCUUGCUACUUAUUACAGCUUGACUUAGCUUCAGCUAAGCAACAGGAUUAACACCUUAAAGUUCCAGAAAGAUUUUGAGGGGCUAGGGAGCUGAAGGAGAGCCAGUUUCCCCAAAAUUGGACUUCUCAGAACCUUUAAUAUGCUAAUGUGCAUUGUGAAUCUCCAAGAGGGGGAUAUGAUAUGCAGCAUUCUUGAAUACUUCUAAUGACAGGGAGCCCACUACCUCAUAAGCUGCAGUGAGAAGAGGAGUUUGUUACUUUAAACAGAGGCUGAAGAAACUAUAGAAUCAGCAGAGAAAGUGGAGAAGGUAGAGGAUGGAGUUGCAGACUCUACAGGAAGCUCUUAAAGUGGAAAUUCAGGUUCACCAGAAACUGGUUGCUCAAAUGAAGCAGGAUCCACAGAAUGCUGACUUAAAGAAACAGCUUCAUGAACUCCAAGCCAAAAUCACAGCUUUGAGUGAGAAACAGAAAAGAGUAGUUGAACAGCUACGGAAGAACCUGAUAGUAAAGCAAGAACAACCGGACAAGUUCCAAAUACAGCCAUUGCCACAAUCUGAAAACAAACUACAAACAGCACAGCAGCAACCACUACAGCAACUACAACAGCAGCAGCAGUACCACCACCACCACCCCCAGCAGUCAGCUGCAGCCUCUCCCAACCUGACUGCUUCACAGAAGACUGUAACUACAGCUUCUAUGAUUACCACAAAGACACUACCUCUCGUCUUGAAAGCAGCAACUGCGACCAUGCCUGCCUCUGUGGUGGGCCAGAGACCUACCAUUGCUAUGGUGACCGCCAUCAACAGUCAGAAGGCUGUGCUCAGCACUGAUGUGCAGAACACGCCAGUCAACCUCCAGACGUCUAGUAAGGUCACUGGGCCUGGGGCAGAGGCUGUCCAAAUUGUGGCAAAAAACACAGUCACUCUGCAGGUUCAGGCAACACCUCCUCAGCCCAUCAAAGUACCACAGUUUAUCCCCCCUCCUAGACUCACUCCACGUCCAAACUUUCUUCCACAGGUUCGACCCAAGCCUGUGGCCCAGAAUAACAUUCCUAUUGCCCCAGCACCACCUCCCAUGCUCGCAGCUCCUCAGCUUAUCCAGAGGCCCGUCAUGCUGACCAAGUUCACCCCCACAACCCUUCCCACAUCCCAGAAUUCCAUCCACCCCGUCCGUGUCGUCAAUGGGCAGACUGCAACCAUAGCCAAAACGUUUCCCAUGGCCCAGCUCACCAGCAUUGUGAUAGCUACUCCAGGGACCAGACUCGCUGGACCUCAAACUGUACAGCUUAGCAAGCCAAGUCUUGAAAAACAGACAGUUAAAUCUCACACAGAAACAGAUGAGAAACAAACAGAAAGCCGCACCAUCACCCCACCUGCUGCACCCAAACCAAAACGGGAGGAGAACCCUCAGAAACUUGCCUUCAUGGUGUCUCUAGGGUUGGUAACACAUGACCAUCUAGAAGAAAUCCAAAGCAAGAGACAAGAGCGAAAAAGAAGAACAACAGCAAAUCCGGUCUACAGCGGAGCAGUCUUUGAGCCAGAGCGUAAGAAGAGUGCAGUCACAUACCUAAACAGCACAAUGCACCCUGGGACCCGGAAGAGAGGUCGUCCUCCAAAAUACAAUGCAGUGCUGGGGUUUGGAGCCCUUACCCCAACAUCCCCCCAAUCCAGUCAUCCUGACUCCCCUGAAAAUGAAAAGACAGAGACCACAUUCACUUUCCCUGCACCUGUUCAGCCUGUGUCCCUGCCCAGCCCCACCUCCACAGACGGUGAUAUUCAUGAGGAUUUUUGCAGCGUUUGCAGAAAAAGUGGCCAGUUACUGAUGUGUGACACGUGUUCCCGUGUAUAUCAUCUGGACUGCUUAGACCCCCCUCUGAAAACAAUUCCCAAGGGCAUGUGGAUCUGUCCCAGAUGUCAGGACCAGAUGCUGAAGAAGGAAGAAGCAAUUCCAUGGCCUGGAACUUUAGCAAUUGUUCAUUCCUAUAUUGCCUACAAAGCAGCAAAAGAAGAAGAGAAACAGAAGUUACUUAAAUGGAGUUCAGAUUUAAAACAAGAACGAGAACAACUAGAGCAAAAGGUGAAACAGCUCAGCAAUUCCAUAAGUUCACCUGAGCGAGCGGGCCCAUCCACACGGCCCUCCCUUGCUCUUGCUUCCACACCAUGCUGAUUGCAUUUCCCGGUUUUCCUGACCAGUGUGAGGAAGUGGGCUUUCUAGAGACAAGUAUUGGAAAAAUGCAUGGAAAUGAAGAACACCAUCCUGGCCCGGCAGAAGGAGAUGCACAGCUCCUUGGAGAAGGUAAAACAGCUGAUUCGCCUCAUCCACGGCAUCGACCUCUCCAAACCUGUAGACUCUGAGGCCACUGUGGGGGCCAUCUCCAACGGCCCGGACUGCACCCCCCCUGCCAAUGCCGCCACCUCCACGCCGGCCCCUUCCCCCUCCUCCCAGAGCUGCACAGCGAACUGUAACCAAGGGGAAGAGACUAAAUAACAGAGCCCCUCUAGGAGAAGCCACAGGAUCCCGGCGGCAAGGAGAGCAGAACACUGAAGACUCUAGAAAAGCAAAGCCGGAUUUCCGGAAAGUGCAGAAUUCUUUUGGUUCUUUGGUUCCAGAGAGAGAGAAGAUGCUUGUGCCAGGUGGCACCAGAGUUUGCCAAUUGAUCCUUCUUAUUCUGUGUGUACAUGCAAAGAUUGGACCAUGUUACAUGAAAUAGUGCCAGCUGGAGGUUCUUUGCCAGCACCAUGCCAAGUGAAAUAAUAUAUUUACUCUCUCUAUUAUACACCAGUGUGUGCCUGCAGCAGCCUCCACAGCCACGAUGGGUUUGUUUCUGUUUUCUUGGGUGGGGAGCAGGGACGGGCGGAGGGAGGAGAGCAGGUUUCAGAUCCUUACUUGCCGAGCCGUUUGUUUAGGUAGAGAAGACAAGUCCAAAGAGUGUGUGGGCUUUCCUGUUUCUAAACUUUCGCUACUAUAAAACCAAAAAAAGGAAUUGAGAUUCAACCAACCCCAGUGCCCAGAAGAGGGAAUGGGAGUGGCUGGAGGGAGCCGGGGGUGGAACAGUGUAUCACAGAAGCAGUAUUUAAUCACGGCUGGCGGGGGCCUCGCAGGGGAGACUGACACCAAGGACAGCCAGUAGGUUCUUCUCCCCCGCGCUCUGCUCCCUCCCCGUGGGAACUCCCCAUCCUGAAGCCUGCCCAGCCUCCUUCCUUCCCUGCUUGGUGAAUCGCGCAUCCCCGUGUUAUCCCACUGUCUCCUCUCCAAGAACAAGCAGAGCCCAGGCCGCAGGCCCUUGCCUGGGGCAGGGAAGAAAGAUGUGUAUGUCCAGGAAGGAAAAAAGGUGGAUCAGUGAUUUUACUUGAAAACAAGCUCCAUCCCUUUUCUAUAUUUAUAAGAAGAGAAGAUCUUGAGUGAAGCAGCACGCGACCCAGGUGUGUGUGAAUUGAAUGGAGACAUUUCUUUUCUUUUUUUUUUUAAUUUUUGUUUUUGUUCUUUUUUUCUUUAAGGAAAGUUUUAUUUUAUUGUUCAUUUUACUUUCUUGGUAACAAAAACUAAAAUAAGGAAUAGAAAAGCUGUUUUUCAGGCUGACAGUCCAAUUAAGGGUAGCCGAGACCUUGCAUGGUAGAGUAGGAAUCAUAGUGUCAGUGAGGUCCCGUGAGUCUUUGUGAGUCCUUGUGUCAUCGUUCGGGCACUGGUUUUUUAUGCAAGGGCAAAAAUCUUUGUAUCUGGGGGAAAAAAAAAAAACAACUUUUUUUUAAAUUAAAAAGGAAAAUAAAAGAUAUUGAGGUCUUCCUAGUGUUACUUAAAUUAAGAUCAAGGUAAGAAACAUUGUAAAAAAAAAUUACAAAAGUGCUAUUUGUUUCCUAAAAACAGUGAUUUCUAUUAAAAAGGUGUCAGAACUGGAGAAAAUGCCGUGUAGUUAUAAUUUUUUAGCACAGACCCUGCUGAUGACGAUGACAUUUUGCCGUGUGUGUCUCUAGACUGUGGGCCAGUCUCCUUGACGGACAGGGUGGAGCUCCCCACCCUUCUCUCUCCUCAGAAAAGACCGUGCUCUCUUCUUGGUGCAGGGAUCUUGUCUCCUGUUGUGAAGCCCAAAUGGAAGUCUGGACGGUGUCAGGGCCCUCCCCGUGGUCUUCUUAGAUUCUGCUAGAGCAAAAGGCUGGUGCCUAAAUAAGAUCCCUUCCUUUGGUGCUGCUUUUGGUCUUUCAGCCACCAGCAUUAUGAGUGCCUGGGGGACACCUCCAAGGGAACUGGCCAGUGGAGCUCAGUGGUGCCCAUGCACCCUGGCUGUGGCAGGAGGGUGCGGGAGUGCAGGCUGGCUGCAUCAGCCCUUGGUGCUUAGAAAGAACAGAGGAGUGACAUGUCUCGAGGGUAUGUCUCUGAGACAGAGCCCCAAAGCUCUGUCUUGCUUUUGGGGAGAGGUCUGAAGCUCUCACUCCUUUCUCUGCCUGUUGGCUCCAGGCACCAGAAAUGGAAUUCAUUCCACUCCUCCCACCCACAAGUCUCCUGGGUGACCCUUGGCUAGAAUUGCUGCGCUUGCCUUGGCUUGGCCUGUUGUGGCCUCUCCUUCUUGAGAAAACCAGGGUUCUGAAAGGUUCAGACCAUUCUCUCAUCUUGCCUUGUGGGAAGUAAACGGUGUCAGAUGCGUGCUCUGGCUGGAGACCUUUGCCUCUUGCCUGCCCCUGGCUGAUGGCAGGGCAGUGGAGGCUCCGUACCCGGGCCCUGCUGGAGCAUCUCCCUGAAGCCCACUCCAGGCCCUGGUAACAGCCAGAGUCGGGGAGGGGUAGAAACGGUCCCAUUAGCUUCUCUCCCACCCAGUUAGGCCCAGAGAGACAAAGACAGAUCUGAAGGCAAAUUCAACAGAAAAGAGACGCUUCUUAGAGGAAAAUGUGUCUCAUCCAUAUCAGCUGUCGCCAUUCAUCUUCCCAAGGACCUCAGAAGAGGGAGUUAAGUUUGGCUGAACAGGCCUCAGUUAGGCCCUGGCUGCUUGAUUGGCUGACGGGGAGAGUUCCCUUUUCUCAGAAACCAAGGUGCUGUGCCUGGUCAGGGAGGCUUGGAGACGCCUGGACUAGUUGGAGGAAUCGGUGGCAGAGGAUCAGAGACCAGCAGCAGGCUGCCUGCCCUGUCUAGAGCUCUUCCCCUCAACUUGUCUGGGCCCAUCUAGGGGUUGCCGCAACAGUUAACUCUCCUUUUCCUGAAAGAAUUUGGGAAGCCAUCAUCACUAGAGGCCUUUGCUCGGAGAGGAGCUGCCUGAGGAGUCUCAGGGGUGGGGGGAUUAGGCUAGGAAUUGACCAGGGCUUUGCCUGCCGCCCUGAGCAGCGUGAGUACAUUCUGACCUCGCCUGCAGCUGGGCUGUGGAUUCUUCCUGACAUUCAGAUGUGAUCUGUUUUGGGAGCCAGCUAGUAUGGAGUGCAAGAUGCAAUCCUGCCCACAAACCUACAUUCUGGACUCAAAUUCCAAAACACUGCUUUACUGUAAAGAAGAGGCCCCCGGCACUCAAUCUCCCUGUCCUUCACUGUUCCCCCAGACUGCCAGAGACACACGCUCGUGACACUGCCCCACCCAGCCACCUCCACUUGCUUCCUCCUCCUUCCUUGCGCUGCUCUUUCCCCAUGGCCCAGAAUUUAGCUGCUCUGACAGCUACUUAUCUGAGACCAGCUGGCUUUGCAGUCACUUCAGAGAGCUGGAGUGGCUGCCCACUGGGCCCUGCCUGGGAGUCCCCUGCCAGCUCCUGAUCAGGCGCUGCGCCCUGGUGGCAGUGAGGUCAUGUUGCUGUCAUCUCCACCUCUGCAUUCUUGCUGCCUGCGGGUCCUUUUUCUUUCAUGGAGCCUGCUGGGUCUUGUCUCACCUGUGCUGAGCUCAUCGGGGUUUUGAUUUCUUCCUUCCUUAUUAGGCCCUUUGUGGUAAGCCUGCUGGUUGUACCUGACAGGGGUAGACAGCUACGGGCAGUCCCUGGUGGGGCCACCCUGGCAGCCUCCAGCUGGCACCAUCGUGUGCCUGGCUUCCCUGCAAGGCCUGUCUCUCUGUCCCUGCUGCUUGGCUCAGGCCCAGCGGGCAAGUGUGCAUGGCGCAGGUGCACACAGCUGUGUCUGUGCGGGUGGCCGUGUCUGCAGCACACUCUGUCUCCGCAUGCACGCUGGCUCUCCAGCCACCUCUGAUACUUCUCUCUUGGGGCUAAGAGCCCUUGGGCUUGGCCCUCCCAGCUCACACACACUCUUCAGAGGUUUCUUCCCUUCAUUCCCUUGUAGGGCGUGGUCCUUCUUAUUUAUCUAAAGGGCUGAAUUUAGAAGACUACCCAGAGGCAAAAGGCUCUUAAGGUGAUGGGAUGGAGCGUGGCCCGGGCAUCUUCCAGGGCCUGGGUCUCAGAUCCCGAGGCUUCUGUUGAGUGGAGGGAUCUUUGCUCUGUGUGGACCUCACCCCUGCCCUUAGCCAGGCACCCCUGGCAGGAAGCAGGGGUCUCAUCCUCACCCUGACUUAGACUGUCCUCCGAGUCAGCUCCUCUGGACAGUCUUCUGGCCCCCUCGCUAAAGUGAGGGGCAGGAAGCUGGGGCUGCCCUCCAGAAGCCGGGUAGGAACUCUGAAAAGUAGCUCCUGUAAACGGAAGCAGGGCUCCCCAGUUCCACUUGGCGCCCCCUCCCACAAGGCCCUUCCUCCCUGAGGACCCAGCCUCCCCCGCCCCGCCCGUCCCCAGCAGCCUUUGGGCCCUCACCUCUCCCCGGUCUCCGUGGGUCCUCAGUCCAGGUGAGCUGCAGCCAGGUGGUGGGGAUGGGCAGGCCAGAGGUCAGCCAGCUCCUAGCAGAGAAGAGCCAGCCAGACCCCAACCCUGUCUCUUGUCCAUGCCCUUUGUGAUUUCAGUCUUGGUAGACUUGUAUUUGGAGUUUUGUGCUUCAAAGUUUUUGUUUCUGUUUGGUUUUUGUUUUGAGGGGGUGGGGGGGAUACAGAGCAGCUGAUCAAUUUGUAUUUAUUUAUUUUAACAUUUUACUAAAUAAAGCCAAAUAAAGCCU
RNA transcript from Sapajus apella (tufted capuchin), 9402 nucleotides. It is a transcript of the gene named PHD finger protein 21A, with no coding region annotated. The transcript has 20 exons. The record is from RefSeq and is a predicted model, not a curated record. NCBI's taxonomy places the organism in Eukaryota, Metazoa, Chordata, Mammalia, Primates, Cebidae.